RNAcentral lists this transfer RNA (73 nucleotides) under Euzebya pacifica. It matches the Rfam family "tRNA". From Rfam's summary of the family: Transfer RNA (tRNA) molecules are approximately 80 nucleotides in length. Their secondary structure includes four short double-helical elements and three loops (D, anti-codon, and T loops). Lineage: Bacteria; Bacillati; Actinomycetota; Nitriliruptoria; Euzebyales; Euzebyaceae. The record is from Rfam by way of RNAcentral.
GGGCGAUUAGCUCAGCUGGGAGAGCGUUUGGUCGACAACCAAAAGGUCACAGGUUCGAGCCCUGUAUCGCCCA